RNAcentral lists this ribosomal RNA (301 nucleotides) under uncultured bacterium. RNAcentral describes it as "partial 16S ribosomal RNA". It matches the Rfam family "Bacterial small subunit ribosomal RNA", at positions 509 to 807 of the family's 1533-position model. The record is from RNAcentral.
CAGUAGCCGCGGUAAUACGGAGGGGGCUAGCGUUGUUCGGAAUUACUGGGCGUAAAGCGCACGUAGGCGGCUUGGUAAGUUAGAGGUGAAAGCCUGGAGCUCAACUCCAGAAUUGCCUUUAAGACUGCCGAGCUAGCAGGUGAGAGAGGUAAGUGGAAUUCCGAGUGUAGAGGUGAAAUUCGUAGAUAUUCGGAAGAACACCGGUGGCGAAGGCGGCUUACUGGCUCAUACUGGACGCUGAGGUGCGAAAGCGUGGGGAGCAAACAGGAUUAGAUACCCGUGUAGUCCCUGUCUCUUAUAC